This 71-nucleotide transfer RNA is filed under the name Miniopterus schreibersii (Schreibers' long-fingered bat). Its description in RNAcentral is "tRNA-Thr". Lineage: Eukaryota; Metazoa; Chordata; Mammalia; Chiroptera; Miniopteridae. The record is from RNAcentral. RNAcentral also lists the same sequence under 1 other name.
GUCUAUGUAGUAUACCCAUUACACUGGUCUUGUAAACCAGAGAUGAGGAAUAGUAGUUCCUCCAAAGACUC